Molecule: transfer RNA, 71 nt
Filed under: Marmota monax (woodchuck)
Lineage: Eukaryota; Metazoa; Chordata; Mammalia; Rodentia; Sciuridae
Description: tRNA.Ala
Source: RNAcentral
GAGAGUGUGGCUCAGUGGCUGAGUCCCCGCCUCGCACAUGGGAGGCACUGGGUUCCAUCCUCAGCACCACA